Molecule: ribosomal RNA, 33 nt
Filed under: Amanita frostiana
Lineage: Eukaryota; Fungi; Basidiomycota; Agaricomycetes; Agaricales; Amanitaceae
Also listed under: 10 other names
Description: partial 28S ribosomal RNA
Source: RNAcentral
UUGACCUCAAAUCAGGUAGGACUACCCGCUGAA